GAUGAACGCUGGCGGCGUGCCUAAUACAUGCAAGUCGAGCGAACAGACGAGGAGCUUGCUCCUCUGACGUUAGCGGCGGACGGGUGAGUAACACGUGGAUAACCUACCUAUAAGACUGGGAUAACUUCGGGAAACCGGAGCUAAUACCGGAUAAUAUAUUGAACCGCAUGGUUCAAUAGUGAAAGACGGUUUUGCUGUCACUUAUAGAUGGAUCCGCGCCGCAUUAACGAGUUGGUAAGGUAACGGCUUACCAAGGCAACGAUGCGUAGCCGACCUGAGAGGGUGAUCGGCCACACUGGAACUGAGACACGGUCCAGACUCCUACGGGAGGCAGCAGUAGGGAAUCUUCCGCAAUGGGCGAAAGCUUGACGGAGCAACGCCGCGUGAGUGAUGAAGGUCUUCGGAUCGUAAAACUCUGUUAUUAGGGAAGAACAAAUGUGUAAGUAACUAUGCACGUCUUGACGGUACCUAAUCAGAAAGCCACGGCUAACUACGUG
RNAcentral lists this ribosomal RNA (497 nucleotides) under uncultured bacterium. RNAcentral describes it as "partial 16S ribosomal RNA". It matches the Rfam family "Bacterial small subunit ribosomal RNA", at positions 28 to 507 of the family's 1533-position model. The record is from RNAcentral.